Lupinus angustifolius (narrow-leaved blue lupine) is the source of this 134-nucleotide non-coding RNA. The record is from Rfam. Lineage: Eukaryota; Viridiplantae; Streptophyta; Magnoliopsida; Fabales; Fabaceae.
AAAAAAGCAGUGGUCUGUUGCCUAUGUUAACUGGCCUGGCCUCUCGUAAACUUCAGGAACAUUAUCACCAUUGUUUUUGGGUGAACCUCUGUUAUUUAUUUGUGACUCAAGGUUCAGUUAAUGAUGGAACAAAA